AAGUCGUAACAAGGUUUCCGUAGGUGAACCUCCUGAAGGAUCAUUAACACGUAUCCAACGUUAAACCCCCCUGUGAACCUUUAGUGUGCUCCCUCAUUCUGUUGGAACGGUGCAAAGAGUGCUGGUUGUAGCGCGAGGCAAGUGGCCUGGCAUUCCUCUGCUUGUUAGUGUCUGAAAGUGUCACUGGCUCUGUAAGAAUGGCGCAGUCACGAUCGCUAGAGGCCGACACGGCCGGCGACCGGGUCACCGGGCUCACGCCCCCCUAUCACCCCUUUGCAUGAAAACGGGCCUGCGCUUAAUUGUGCGGCCAUAAACCGAACAACUGUUAACAAUGGAUAUCUUGGUUCUC
This 349-nucleotide unclassified non-coding RNA is filed under the name fungal sp. Its description in RNAcentral is "partial internal transcribed spacer region". The stretch from base 1 to 46 matches the Rfam family "Eukaryotic small subunit ribosomal RNA", at positions 1786 to 1831 of the family's 1831-position model. Lineage: Eukaryota; Fungi. The record is from RNAcentral.